CACGUAAGGGGCAAGCGUUGUUCGGAAUUAUUGGGCGUAAAGGGUACGUAGGCGGUUUGGUAAGCCUGGCGUGAAAUCCUGCAGCUUAACUGUAGAGCUGCGCUGGGAACUGCGAAACUUGAGUCAUGGAAGGGGAGUUAGAAUUCCAGGUGUAGGGGUGAAAUCUGUAGAUAUCUGGAAGAAUACCGGUGGCGAAGGCGACCUCCUGGCCAAUGACUGACGCUGAGGUACGAAAGUGCGGGGAGCAAACAGG
This 253-nucleotide ribosomal RNA is filed under the name uncultured bacterium. RNAcentral's name for it is "partial 16S ribosomal RNA". It matches the Rfam family "Bacterial small subunit ribosomal RNA", at positions 524 to 776 of the family's 1533-position model. The record is from RNAcentral.